This 481-nucleotide ribosomal RNA is filed under the name uncultured bacterium. RNAcentral describes it as "partial 16S ribosomal RNA". It matches the Rfam family "Bacterial small subunit ribosomal RNA", at positions 28 to 507 of the family's 1533-position model. The record is from RNAcentral.
GAUGAACGCUGGCGGCGUGCUUAACACAUGCAAGUCGAACGAAGCACUUUAUUUGAUUUCCUUCGGGACUGAUUAUUUUGUGACUGAGUGGCGGACGGGUGAGUAACGCGUGGGUAACCUGCCUUGUACAGGGGGAUAACAGUUGGAAACGGCUGCUAAUACCGCAUAAGCGCACAGCAUCGCAUGAUGCAGUGUGAAAAACUCCGGUGGUAUAAGAUGGACCCGCGUUGGAUUAGCUAGUUGGUGAGGUAACGGCCCACCAAGGCGACGAUCCAUAGCCGACCUGAGAGGGUGACCGGCCACAUUGGGACUGAGACACGGCCCAAACUCCUACGGGAGGCAGCAGUGGGGAAUAUUGCACAAUGGGCGAAAGCCUGAUGCAGCGACGCCGCGUGAGCGAAGAAGUAUUUCGGUAUGUAAAGCCCUAUCAGCAGGGAAGAUAAUGACGGUACCUGACUAAGAAGCACCGGCUAAAUACGUG